RNAcentral lists this ribosomal RNA (474 nucleotides) under uncultured organism. RNAcentral's name for it is "partial 16S ribosomal RNA". It matches the Rfam family "Bacterial small subunit ribosomal RNA", at positions 331 to 797 of the family's 1533-position model. The record is from RNAcentral.
GUACACUCCUGCGGGAGGCAGCAGUGGGGAAUUUUGGACAAUGGGCGAAAGCCUGAUCCAGCAAUGCCGCGUGAGUGAAGAAGGCCUUCGGGUUGUAAAGCUCUUUUGUCAGGGAAGAAACGGUGAGAGCUAAUAUCUUUUGCUAAUGACGGUACCUGAAGAAUAAGCACCGGCUAACUACGUGCCAGCAGCCGCGGUAAUACGUAGGGUGCAAGCGUUAAUCGGAAUUACUGGGCGUAAAGCGUGCGCAGGCGGUUUUGUAAGUCUGAUGUGAAAUCCCCGGGCUCAACCUGGGAAUUGCAUUGGAGACUGCAAGUCUAGAAUCUGGCAGAGGGGGGUAGAAUUCCACGUGUAGCAGUGAAAUGCGUAGAUAUGUGGAGGAACACCGAUGGCGAAGGCAGCCCCCUGGGUCAAGAUUGACGCUCAUGCACGAAAGCGUGGGGAGCAAACAGGAUUAGAUACCCUAGUAGUCCC